Molecule: ribosomal RNA, 481 nt
Filed under: uncultured bacterium
Lineage: Bacteria
Description: partial 16S ribosomal RNA
Rfam family: Bacterial small subunit ribosomal RNA
Source: RNAcentral
UUGAACGCUGGCGGCAUGCUUUACACAUGCAAGUCGAACGGUAACAGGCCGCAAGGUGCUGACGAGUGGCGAACGGGUGAGUAAUGCAUCGGAACGUGCCCAGUCGUGGGGGAUAACUACUCGAAAGAGUAGCUAAUACCGCAUACGAUCUAUGGAUGGAAGCGGGGGACCGUAAGGCCUCGCGCGAUUGGAGCGGCCGAUGUCAGAUUAGGUAGUUGGUGGGGUAAAGGCUCACCAAGCCAACGAUCUGUAGCUGGUCUGAGAGGACGACCAGCCACACUGGGACUGAGACACGGCCCAGACUCCUACGGGAGGCAGCAGUGGGGAAUUUUGGACAAUGGGCGCAAGCCUGAUCCAGCAAUGCCGCGUGCAGGAAGAAGGCCUUCGGGUUGUAAACUGCUUUUGUACGGAACGAAACGGCUCUGGUUAAUACCCGGGGCUAAUGACGGUACCGUAAGAAUAAGCACCGGCUAACUACGUG